Molecule: ribosomal RNA, 379 nt
Filed under: uncultured bacterium
Lineage: Bacteria
Description: bacterial SSU rRNA
Rfam family: Bacterial small subunit ribosomal RNA
Source: RNAcentral
AGUGAACGCUGGCGGCAGGCCUAACACAUGCAAGUCGAGCGGCAGCACGGGUAGCGAUACCUGGUGGCGAGCGGCGGACGGGUGAGGAAUACAUCGGAAUCUGCCUUGUUGUGGGGGAUAACGUAGGGAAACUUACGCUAAUACCGCAUAAGACCGAGAGGUGAAAGCGGGGGAUCGAAAGACCUCGCGCGACAAGAUGAGCCGAUGUCGGAUUAGCUAGUUGGCGGGGUAAAGGCCCACCAAGGCGACGAUCCGUAGCUGGUCUGAGAGGAUGAUCAGCCACACUGGAACUGAGACACGGUCCAGACUCCUACGGGAGGCAGCAGUGGGGAAUAUUGGACAAGUGGGCGCAAGCCUGAUCCAGCCAUGCCGCGUGGGU